This is a long non-coding RNA of Populus euphratica (Euphrates poplar), 326 nucleotides long. RefSeq lists it as uncharacterized. The record is from RefSeq and is a predicted model, not a curated record. The transcript is spliced from 2 exons. NCBI's taxonomy places the organism in Eukaryota, Viridiplantae, Streptophyta, Magnoliopsida, Malpighiales, Salicaceae.
GCACAAACAAAAAAGUAAAUAAGAACAGCACUCCUCCUGAAAUGCAAAAUGUAUACCCACUAUUAAAAAUGCUAACAGACAGCCCUCUUUCUACACUCCCCCACCCCCCUCUCUUUUUUUCAGUCUUCCUUCAGGACCCUACUAGUUGAUCUAGGGAAAAGCCAUGCAUCUAAUGAACAUCGCAGCAGACUUCACAUACCCCAACCAUUUACAUAAGCAUGGAAGCAAGAACACGGGCUUACCUGAGAAAACUUGGACUUGUAAGUGUUCAAAAUAGUUGCCAUGAAUGAAGAUAAAAGAGUUUCAAAUACCUAUAACAUCAAGGG